UGAGUGGCGGACGGGUGAGUAACGCGUGGGCAACCUGCCCCAUACAGGGGGAUAACAGCCGGAAACGGCUGCUAAAACCGCAUAAGCGCACAAGGGCCGCAUGGCCUGGUGUGAAAAACUCCGGUGGUAUGGGAUGGGCCCGCGUCUGAUUAGCUAGUUGGCGGGGGAGAGGCCCACCAAGGCGACGAUCAGUAGCCGACCUGAGAGGGUGGCCCGGCCACAUUGGGACUGAGACACGGCCCAAACUCCUACGGAAGGCAGCAG
Molecule: ribosomal RNA, 264 nt
Filed under: uncultured bacterium
Lineage: Bacteria
Description: partial 16S ribosomal RNA
Rfam family: Bacterial small subunit ribosomal RNA
Source: RNAcentral